This 73-nucleotide transfer RNA is filed under the name Ipomoea nil (Japanese morning glory). It matches the Rfam family "tRNA". From Rfam's summary of the family: Transfer RNA (tRNA) molecules are approximately 80 nucleotides in length. Their secondary structure includes four short double-helical elements and three loops (D, anti-codon, and T loops). Lineage: Eukaryota; Viridiplantae; Streptophyta; Magnoliopsida; Solanales; Convolvulaceae. The record is from Rfam by way of RNAcentral.
GCGGGGAUAGCUCUGUUGGGAGAGCGUCAGACUGAAGAUUUGUAGGUCACGUGUUCGAUCCACGUUCACAACA